UCCGUAGGUGACCCUGCGGAGGAUCAUUA
This 29-nucleotide ribosomal RNA is filed under the name Leptolegnia sp. K08. Its description in RNAcentral is "partial 18S ribosomal RNA". The record is from RNAcentral. Lineage: Eukaryota; Oomycota; Saprolegniomycetes; Saprolegniales; Saprolegniaceae.